This 497-nucleotide ribosomal RNA is filed under the name uncultured bacterium. RNAcentral describes it as "partial 16S ribosomal RNA". It matches the Rfam family "Bacterial small subunit ribosomal RNA", at positions 28 to 507 of the family's 1533-position model. The record is from RNAcentral.
GAUGAACGCUGGCGGCGUGCCUAAUACAUGCAAGUCGAGCGAACGGACGAGAAGCUUGCUUCUCUGAUGUUAGCGGCGGACGGGUGAGUAACACGUGGAUAACCUCCCUAUAAGACUGGGAUAACUUCGGGAAACCGUAGCUAAUACCGGAUAAUAUUUUGAACCGCAUGGUUCAAAAGUGAAAGACGGUCUUGCUGUCACUUAUAGAUGGAUCCGCGCUGCAUUAGCUAGUUGGUAAGGUAACGGCUUACCAAGGCAACGAUGCAUAGCCGACCUGCGAGGGGGAUAGGCCACACUGGAACUGAGACACGGUCAAGACUCCUACGGGAGGCAGCAGUAGGGAAUCUUCCGCAAUGGGCGAAAGCCUGACGGAGCAACGCCGCGUGAGUGAUGAAGGUCUUCGGAUCGUAAAACUCUGUUAUUAGGGAAGAACAUAUGUGUAAGUAACUGUGCACAUCUUGACGGUACCUAAUCAGAAAGCCACGGCUAACUACGUG